Molecule: long non-coding RNA, 428 nt
Organism: Peromyscus eremicus (cactus mouse)
Lineage: Eukaryota; Metazoa; Chordata; Mammalia; Rodentia; Cricetidae
Exons: 3
Source: RefSeq, a predicted model, not a curated record
GUAUGUUUGGCUGUUUUUAAGACCAUGACCUAAGACUCCCCUUUGAGAAGUCCACACUCACUCUUUGGUGUCUCAGUAUGUAACCUCAGCUGGCUUCAAACUCAAAUCUACUUGCUUUGGUUUUCCAAGAACUGAGAUUACAGGAUACUCCAACCAGCAGGAUGGACCGCAAGCAGAGCCUGGCAGUAGAAAAGCUGCAAGUGCCUGGAUGCCACGUGUUCCAUCUCUUUCAGAUAGCCUUGACUCAUGCAUCCUGUCUGGGCUGAUGUUGGUUUUCUGAUUGCAGAGUGUCUGGAAUGUCCUCAAAUGUACAAGGCACCUUCCAAGGGUCAGUCCUUGUGUAGAGUAGCAAUUUGUGCUUUCCUGGGCUUUUCUGUCACUCUCUGAUUCUACUCAGGAGUCUGAAUAAAGCUGGUUUUCAGUAGGAA